This 514-nucleotide ribosomal RNA is filed under the name Bacillus pumilus. RNAcentral describes it as "bacterial SSU rRNA". It matches the Rfam family "Bacterial small subunit ribosomal RNA", at positions 553 to 1067 of the family's 1533-position model. The record is from RNAcentral. Lineage: Bacteria; Bacillati; Bacillota; Bacilli; Caryophanales; Bacillaceae.
AUUGGGCGUAAAGGGCUCGCAGGCGGUUUCUUAAGUCUGAUGUGAAAGCCCCCGGCUCAACCGGGGAGGGUCAUUGGAAACUGGGAAACUUGAGUGCAGAAGAGGAGAGUGGAAUUCCACGUGUAGCGGUGAAAUGCGUAGAGAUGUGGAGGAACACCAGUGGCGAAGGCGACUCUCUGGUCUGUAACUGACGCUGAGGAGCGAAAGCGUGGGGAGCGAACAGGAUUAGAUACCCUGGUAGUCCACGCCGUAAACGAUGAGUGCUAAGUGUUAGGGGGUUUCCGCCCCUUAGUGCUGCAGCUAACGCAUUAAGCACUCCGCCUGGGGAGUACGGUCGCAAGACUGAAACUCAAAGGAAUUGACGGGGGCCCGCACAAGCGGUGGAGCAUGUGGUUUAAUUCGAAGCAACGCGAAGAACCUUACCAGGUCUUGACAUCCUCUGACAACCCUAGAGAUAGGGCUUUCCCUUCGGGGACAGAGUGACAGGUGGUGCAUGGUGUCGUCAGCUCGGUCG